UACGUAGGGUGCGAGCGUUAAUCGGAAUUACUGGGCGUAAAGCGUGCGCAGGCGGGCUUUUAAGCCAGACGUGAAAUCCCCGGGCUUAACCUGGGAAUGGCAUUUGGGACUGCAAGGCUGGAGUGCGGCAGAGGAGACUGGAAUUCCUGGUGUAGCAGUGAAAUGCGUAGAUAUCAGGAGGAAUACCGAUGGCGAAGGCAGGUCUCUGGGCUGACACUGACGCUCAUGCACGAAAGCGUGGGGAGCAAACAGG
This 253-nucleotide ribosomal RNA is filed under the name uncultured bacterium. RNAcentral's name for it is "partial 16S ribosomal RNA". It matches the Rfam family "Bacterial small subunit ribosomal RNA", at positions 524 to 776 of the family's 1533-position model. The record is from RNAcentral.